Molecule: ribosomal RNA, 449 nt
Filed under: uncultured bacterium
Lineage: Bacteria
Description: bacterial SSU rRNA
Rfam family: Bacterial small subunit ribosomal RNA
Source: RNAcentral
AUGAAUGACCGCAUGUAUUUAUUUGAAAGGGGCAACUGCUCCACUACAAGAUGGACCUGCGUUGUAUUAGCUAGUAGGUGANGUAACGGCUCACCUAAGCGACGAUACAUAGCCGACCUGAGAGGGUGAUCGGCCACACUGGGACUGAGACACGGCCAGACUCCUACGGGAGGCAGCAGUAGGGAAUCUUCGGCAAUGGGGGCAACCCUGACCGAGCAACGCCGCGUGAGUGAAGAAGGUUUUCGGAUCGUAAAGCUCUGUUGUAAGUCAAGAACGAGUGUGAGAGUGGAAAGUUCACACUGUGACGGUAGCUUACCAGAAAGGGACGGCUAACUACGUGCCAGCAGCCGCGGUACAUACGUAGGUCCCGAGCGUUGUCCGGAUUUAUUGGGCGUACAGCGAGCGCAGGCGGUUUGAUAAGUCUGAACGUUAACAGGCUGUGGCUCAAC